This 37248-nucleotide long non-coding RNA is filed under the name Olea europaea (common olive). Its description in RNAcentral is "long non-coding RNA (OEUR_LNC008494)". The record is from RNAcentral. Lineage: Eukaryota; Viridiplantae; Streptophyta; Magnoliopsida; Lamiales; Oleaceae.
GCCUCAUAUUUGUCCACAGUUUCGUAGAGAACGCGCUGGUAAAUAUAUUGAUCACUUAUCUCCCAGGUGUAUGGGGCUUAUCAAAAUCGGCUCAAGCUGUCAAUUUACAGGAAGGAACCUCAGCACGGAUGCCUAUCUGGGCCGCUUCAAAAUGGUGGUUUACUCCACCAUAUCUUACAUCAUUGUGAGUUUUUUAAUGAGAGAUUAACGUUAAACCCACCACUUUUUACUCUCGAGUGUCUUAUUCAGAGAUUUUCUAAAUCAAUCGACUUUUUGUAGGGAUUGGUGCUGUUCUGGAAUGCAGCCUGGCAUAGAAAAAUAGAUGUUCGAACUUUUUACAUAGGACUCGUGCUAAUAACUCUGGCAAAAGCAGCAAAAGAGGUAUCCUUGAACGGGUUUCUUGAUGAUCAAUUCAUGGCGAAGGAUAUCACAACCACAGAAGAGGAUGAAGAACGACAACAUAGCCGUAGCAAUGUCUGGUGGCGCUCUGCAUCCAUCUUGGGUGCUAUUGCAGCUAUUUCUGUCCCGAGUUCAUUGAAGCUGCUUUCUAUGAUCUCAGCAAUUGCAAUGAUGGUUGCAUACUUGUGGUUCUGGUUAGGUGCAAAAUUUUACGAAUGCAAUCGACCAACAGGCAGCGCCAUCUCUGAUGUUCUAUUUGUUAUCAAAACAGCAGUACUAAGAAGAAAUCUUCUCUAUGCAACUACUCCAGAGCAGCUCUUCCAAAAUUAUAAAGGUGUUACGCAUAUUGAGCCUCGCAUUUCAUGGUUGAGGUAUGUCCCUUCACUCGGUUUCUUACUUACAAUGAAGACUACAAGAUCAUUGAUCUUAUUCGCACUGCAUUUUGUUUGUUAAACGAAAGGUGGUUAGACAAAGCUCCCAUUGUGAUUGAAGAAGAAAAUAGGGCAAACAAGAAUUGCACAGUUGCACAAGUGAAGGAAGUGAAAUUUUUAUUAGCGAUGGUUCCUAUGUGGACAACUUUCCUUACAUACAGUCUGGUUGAUGCGACAGGGAGCACCUUUUUUCUCGAACAAGCUAGCAACAUAAAUGAAAAUUUUCCUUUUACUGUUUUCAAUAUAUUAGUAGUAGUCACAAGCUUUGCAAUUGAACAUCUAUGUGACUUCCUAUUUCGAAAGAUUGGUAAUGAAAUGAAUAGACAACUCUUAAGGCAGGGGAGAAUCGGUUUUGGAAUGGCAUUUUCUGUCAUUUGUUGCAUAUUUUCUUGGAAAAAUGCAGUUCACUGGCUGUAUUUGGUCAAGACAUAUGAUAUGCCAAGUUCAUACACGAAUAUUUUUAGCCUGACUCCACAAUUUAUCUUCUUGGGAAUUAUGAAAGGACUUUCAGAAAGUGGGCUUCGAAGUUUCUUUUGUUCCCAGGUUUCUGAAUCUCUAAAGAACUACGGACCACCGUUUGGAGAAUGUGUGAUAGGCAUCGGAAAGUUUCUGAGUAUACUUUGUAUCCUCAUUUUCAGUAGCUGGUUUGGGGAAGAUAUAGAUUCAAGUCGUUUGGACAAAUAUUAUGCGAUGCUGACACUUCUAAGUUUUGUUAACUUACUAAUAUACUGGUUGGUUGCGUACUGGUAUGGAGAUGAUCAAUUUUCACCUGAAGUAGAUUGUGAACUACUCAUAGAAGGUGCACAAGACAGAAUUGUGCCUUUGGUAUUGCGGUCCUUCUCUGAUCAGACGUCCAAUAAUCUUCAAUAUAUUAGUGUUUCAACAAGGAGAGCACUAUCCUUAUCUGAUAAGACACCCAAUAACCCUCUAUAUUUCAGUGUUUUCAGAAGGAGAACGCGGUCCUUCCCUGGUCCUGCUUGCCCUAUAACUCCAAACAAGCUGGAUGAUGCACAAGAGCAGGAAAAUGAACAACUACUCGAUUUAAAAAUAUCUGAUUGUGAACAUCGUGAUGUUUUGUAAAAUUGGUCAAUGUUAAAUUGAUCAUGGAAAGGUAUCAGAAUGGCUGCAAGACUCGAUCCCCUUACAUACCUUCUGUUAUUCCCCAAAGGAUCCUUCCUAUUAUGCUUACUAAUUGUGAUUUCUAUUUCUCUCCAUUUGUAUUGCUUUGUUUUUCUUUCUGAUAUAGACAUGUCUUUGAUUAUAAAUAUAUUUAAUGUACAAAAAAUAAUAUUUUUCUGAGCAUAGGCUUUAUUUCAUCUGAUGGCUCAAACCAUUAAUAAAUCAUCAGACCAAAAAAUGGUUGUUCCUAUUUCUGAUCCAUUCACAAACCCACAAUCAUAAUGGCAAAGAUCAUCAAUCAUUGUUGUUGUGUGACCUCUAUUUUCAAUUGAAAAUUAUAAUACUUGGCACAGAUCAUUGUGCACAGUCUUUAGAGCAAAGAACAAAUUGGGAUUAGCUGUGCUACAUGUAUACGUCCAUUUGCGUAGGGCCUGUACAGAGGCACACAUAUGGAGGUGGACUCCACACAUGGGGUCCACGUGUGGGUCCACCCCCAUGUGACAACCCCUACAAAUGGGCCUGGGAGCCUUUUUCAAUUGGGAUCUGCAUUAAUGGUGUCCUAAGGUUACAAUCGCUAAAAUAAGAAAACAAAUUCUAAUUUCUUAACUCAUGGAAGCCUAGGAAUUGGACGACAUCUAAUCGAUUGAGGAAGAUGAAAAAAUCAUUCAAAGAUUCACUGCAACCGCUUCGGAAAAGAAGGUCAUAUUAUUGACAAAUGCUACAAGAUACAAUAAUGUCCACAACGUAAUAAUGUUCGGCCACAUUGUUUUGUUGUUGUUAUAUAAUUAUUUAUCGUUCAAAAGGGUCAAUUUUGGGCUGAAAUGUGAAUGAAUUAAUGAUGAAAAUUGGAAGGCAAUAUGAUUAGGUAGUUUCUGUUUAACCAAGCAUAUGCAUAGCCUUGUCUACAGAAAAUUGAAGCGUCUUUGCUUCUACCAUGAGAAUGAAUUAAUGAUGAAAAUUAGAAGGCAAUAUCUUUUUGCUCUUCGUACCUUUUGUUUUCUGUUAUCAAUCCUAUCCCUAGCCAACACCCGUCUCCUCGUGCAUUUUAUUUUUGCACAAUUCCAUAACCCAGGAAGAAGGUAAUUGAAUCAGGACAAGACUGUGUAGUGCACAAUACAGAUCAUCAGGGGCUCACAAGUUAUAUUGACAUGCAGUAGGAAGAGAUCAUCUAAUUCGUCCUCCGUAUCGUCGGAUACAAAAUCUUCCUUGUCAAGCUCCCUCAUUUAAUUCUAAGCAUUUCUAGAACUUCUCGAAGGCAGUAAGAUAUCAUUUCCACCCCCAUCAUACUCCUUCGCAUCAUCACAACCCUCUACAAUCCAAGAUUUUCCAUUAGUUGCAUCACUUGCUUAUAGAGUCUCUAUUUUGCAUGUUCUACUCUUCUUGUUUGCCAACCUUGCAUUAAAUUGCACAAUAAUCAAGUCUAUUCUGUUUCACCAAGUGUAUCUAUAAUAAAAAAAAUGAGAAGAAGAAGAAGAGGAGGAGGAGGAGGAGGAGGAGGAGGAAAGGUACAUUUAAUGGAGCAAAGCAUAUUAAGUAAUUAUUCAUUGCUUAUUACUAAGUAAAAUGUAAUGACUUAAUUAAUAUUUAUCCCUUCAAAACAGCUCUAGUUUCUUUCACAACUGGAUGAACAAGUAGUCAAACCAAAUAUCCUUUUUGCCAUGGUCUUCAAAAUAGGUGUUUCAUUUCCAUAAAAAUCCCACCAAAUCACUAAUAAAUAUAAAUGAAAGAGACAAACAAGUUAUUUAAUAUUUAUAUAAUCACAUAUAAAAUAUAAUAAAUUAUUGAUGCAAGAGAAAGAGUAAUAUGUUAACAUACCUUGAUUAUAAUUUUCAUCAUUGUUUUUACAUGCACUUAUUGCAAGCUUCCUUCCAAAUGAAACUUUCUUUUGGAUAUAUCUUUGCAACUCAAUGAUUAUCACAUGAUGCUGCAUUUGAUCAUUAAGGAAGAAUUUAUCAACAUAAGCAUUUAUAUUAUUUAUCAUGAAUGAAUCAUCAUUGAUACACGGAUUCAUGAAGAAAUAGAAUGGAUUCAAAAAAAUAAGCAGUUGUAUGAAGUGGACUUCAUAAACCCAUCUUGCCAAAUAUUGAUGAACCUCUAAUAACAUUUUCUUAGCAAUUGCAUCAUUCAUAUUUUGUUGUCUCAAUUUCUUAAUUGCACUCAUAGAAGCAUUAUUGACAUUGAUAGACCUUGCAAAUUAAUCCAUAGGUCCCACAUUAAUAGGCCUUUCCUAGUCCCUCUUUCAAUAAUAGUGAUUCCAUCUUCUUCUUCCUCAUCUAUUGUAGGCAAAGAUAUAUUCAUAUCUUCUCUCAACUUACCAUCAUUCAAUAGCUUCUCUAUUUUUUUAGACUUGGUCCCUUGAAGAGCCUCAACACACUUAGCUUUUUUGUUCUUCACUUGUUUUAGGACAUGAUGCCAUACAUCUUCCCUUGAUUUCUGCUACGUGAAGUUUAUGCCUAGAAAUUCCUCCCCUUGUAACCUUUCACAUAAUAUGCAUUUCACAUUAUUAAGAUUGUUUGGACCCACGAAAAUUGCAGUUUUCCAUGCAACAUUUGUGGAAUUUCUUUUGAGUUGACUAGCUUUGGAUUUAGAUAUGCUUAACGAAUCACCUUCUUUCAAUGGUUCCUAAAAAAAAUAGAAACAAUAUAAAAUUUAUAAACAUUGGAGUUCAGUGUACUAAAAUAAAUAGAAUUAAGAUGCACACAAAAUUACAAAUUCUGUAAAUGUAAAAUACCCCAAGUUUUCCCAUUUUUCUGAUUUCUUUAGUGCAAAAAGAACACAAUUUAUAUGAUAAGGGAUGAAUAUUAUAUUGAUCAAACAUGCCAAGUUCAUGAUGGAAUAUUAUAAUGAUCACAAAUAUACUAACAUUAUUAUAUUUUUCCUUUUCCCAUUUUAUACGUAAAAGUUAGUAAAAUUGAUAGUGUACACUAGAGAAGACCCCAAUGUGGACCCAGUGUCAUUGGCUCAUUAGCCAAUCUUUUAGACUUUUAGCAUGGAGAUGCAAGGUUUGUCUUUUUCAUUUUCGACACUUUUAAUAUAGAAACCCCACUAUGGAGUCAGGAGUAUGGACCCGUGUCAAAAUAAUAAUAAAUAAAUAAAUAAAUAAAUCCAGGUUAGUCUAUUUUCUUUUGCAGAUUGAGUGCGUCUGACUUACCGUAGAAAGCACCAAGUCAAGCAGUUGUUGGAAGAGAAAGUGUUGAGAUGUUGCACAUUGGAAGAGAGGAAUUUUUGGAAGCUUUGAAGGCUUCAAGUGGUUGGUUUAAAUUAGGGCAGAUUGAAGACAUUAAUCUUAAUUUUUAACUUAAAAAAAAAAAUUAAAAAAGAAAAAAAGAAAAAAAAAUGAUAAUGAGCGUCUAGGCAUGCAUUAGCGAUCAACGGUUAAAUAAGGCACUGCCUAGACGUGCCUUUUAGAACAUUGAGUUGGAGUAAUUGAUUGACAACCAAUGUUAAUAUAUUUAGAAAAAGAGAAAAAUAGUCAUAUGGAUAAAUAUAGUUAGUUUAGAAUAUUGUGUUUAAGCUUCACUUUUUCUGAAGUAGUAAGAAAGAUUUUUCAAAAUUUGAUCGAUCAUUGANNNNNNNNNNNNNNNNNNNNNNNNNNNNNNNNNNNNNNNNNNNNNNNNNNNNNNNNNNNNNNNNNNNNNNNNNNNNNNNNNNNNNNNNNNNNNNNNNNNNNNNNNNNNNNNNNNNNNNNNNNNNNNNNNNNNNNNNNNNNNNNNNNNNNNNNNNNNNNNNNNNNNNNNNNNNNNNNNNNNNNNNNNNNNNNNNNNNNNNNNNNNNNNNNNNNNNNNNNNNNNNNNNNNNNNNNNNNNNNNNNNNNNNNNNNNNNNNNNNNNNNNNNNNNNNNNNNNNNNNNNNNNNNNNNNNNNNNNNNNNNNNNNNNNNNNNNNNNNNNNAAAACACAUAUUCCGCAUAUAAUCUUGAUUUCACAGCACUCAUUUUAAUAUUUUGAAUCUUUCAAUUUAAUCCAUAUUUCAUUUUAGGACGAUGCUGAAUUUUCCUCUUUUGCUUUAUGCUCAUCUUGGUUUAGUACACAAGUCUCGUUGUUUGACAUCGAUGAUUUAUCAAAAAUUUAGUCCUUGACCAGCAAAUAAUUAAAUCAAACCGUAACAGGCAAAAGCACGUGUUUCAUUCCGACCUUCAAAAAGUAUUGAUAUGACGUGGCCAAAAUGCUGCUUUCGAGCUAAUAGUAGAUUGGGUUUUCACUUCCUUAGGUAGCCAGUGACUUACGAUUAUUCUUAAACUUCUAUUGGUGGAGAAGAAGUGCACUGUACAUAUUUUCCCUAAUUGUCAUACCCAAACACGUUCAUUUGAGACCUUAAUUUUCCUUCGCCACAUAUUUUUCCUUUGCUCCAGCCAAUAAGAGAAAAAAAGGCCGAUGCACUUGCUACAGAUUAUGACCUUUUCGACUGAGUUACAAGUUUUCAACCAAAAAAUACCACUGACCCAAUAAGGCUUCUUUUCCUAGAGCAGUAACUAAAAGAUAAAAGAUUAGUUCCAAAUGGGAUUCAUUCUUUUAUGUCACCUUGCUAUUCGUGACAAUAAAGUAAGAAAUAGAACAAGUAACGUACCCUCAUUCUAAACUUACUCCAUGUAGGUUAGGGUGUGACGAUUAUUUUUACUGUAUUUAGAUCUUGCCGGUGCCACCUAAACAGUGCAUAGGCGAUGAAUGUGCGAAUAUGGCCAUUUCUCAGUCAGCCAUCACUAACCCUUCACUUUAGUGAAUUUCUUGAAUGUUCUCCAGCAGUCGAUUUACUUGAGAUUUCGUCAUGUCUCUUUCUCUAUUCUCUUGGAUAAUUUUUUUCCUAUAGGACCUUGGCUAGUAAACCCCCCCAAUAGGCUAUUAAUGUUUAUCCUUUCCCUAACAAUAUAGAGCUUGGGAAUCUCGAGCGCAAUCAAGAUUUGAACAACAAUGAACACUCAACUUCUAGUCUAGCCUACUAGUUGCUUUUCUUAGUUGUGAUGCAAAUAGGUGAGAUGAUUCGAGUCGGUGCAGUCUGAGCCAGAAAAUAGUCAAUUUUCUUAGUUGUGGAAGUAAUUAUUUGAAAAUUGAUUUUUUGAGAAGGGGUUUUUAUUUUUUAUUUUUUUAAAGAGAUACAAAUAGUAUAAAGAUACAAGUGGAAAGAGAAAAUGUGGAAUUUUCGUGUAUGAAAAUGUGAUUGAUUUGUAGUUGGUUGAAAAUGAGUUUACAAAAAUUAAAAUUUAUACAAAUAUGUAUCAAGCAGGGACUUAAUGAGUAAUGCUACUUACCAUCAUUGAUUUUAUAACAUUAGUUUUGAUGACAUUAACAUGAUAUUAAAUGAAACGUACAAUUAAAUAAGUCACUCAAUUCUAUUUUUCAUUGACCUUAUCAUAAAAAGUAACCUAAAUUGAUAUUAUAGUAGCAAUGACAUUUGUUGGGUUUUGAUACCCAAAGAAUCCCGAGCUAUGACGUUAAUGUCAGAAUAUAAUUUCAUAGGUUUCGACCAAUGGUAAAUUGAUUACCAACAAUCAAAUCCAAAAGCCCAAUUGAAAACAACGUGGAUCGUUGAAAGUAACUUAAGAAAUUAGUGUUGCUCACGGCCCAUAUAUAUUUACCUAUUGGAUGAUUUUGAAUCUUGGUGCAUUUAAUUAUAGCCUAAUAUAUUUCUAUAUAUACGUUGUUUGACCUAGGCGUUCAAGCGUGUGAUUUGUGUGUGAAAAGUGAAAAACUUGGCUGCCAUUAGAGAGGAAAAAUCCAACUGCUUUGUGCUUCCAAAAAACUGGUGAUCUACUUUAUAUUAUUGGUCCCUUCUUUUGCUUUCUUUUCAUUGUUUUUCAUCUUGCUCUUAUGGCCGACAAGUCAAUACCAUUAUUUUAUCCUUUGUGGAUGAGACUGAGUAGCAACCUAGGUAAAUUUUGGUUGUGGGUUGGAACCGUUUGAAUUGGUUAUUUUGUAGAGAAAGGUAACGUGAUAUUGAGCCCAAAAAAUAUCGUUUAAAAGAUUUUUGGAGUGAACUUUCGCGACAAUUGAUAUCAAAGCUUCAAGAUGGUGGAUUUGACUAAAAAUCUAACCAAAACGGACCAAAAUAUGACAGAAUCGAAGAAAAAAUAGAUAAAAAAGGGUUAAUAGCACAAAACGUUCGUACAUUUGACACUUAUUACGAAAAACGUCCCUACGUUUCUUUUUUUUUUUUUUUUUUUUUUUUUUGCAUUUUCGUCCUUAUUUCAAUGUUUCAUUGCUAAAAAUGCCAAUUUCACCAUUUUUAAUAUAAAAUUACCAAAAUACUCUCCUAUUUAAAUAAAAGCAAAAAAAAGAAAAAAAGAAAAAAAAGAAAAGUAAAAUAAAGAAUAAAUUGCAAUUUUACUCCUAAAUGUUUUAAAAAGUGCAAGUGAGUCCAAAUAAUUAUUAAAAUGCAUAAUAGCACAAACGUCCCUACGUUUAGCAUGUAGUAUGCAAAACUUUUCUACGUUUCAAAUUGAUGAAAAUGACGUUUUUCAUAAUGAAACGUGAAAAUAGAGAUGAAAAUGUAAAAAAAAAAUUGAAACGUAUGAACGUUUUCCGCAAGAAGUGUAAAAUGUAGGGACGUUUUUCGCAAGAAGUGUCAAAUGUAGAGAUGUUUUGUACUAUUAGACCUUAUUAAAAUUGAAACCAAUGCCAAACCGGUGAACCUCCAUACCGUUUUCAAAAUACCAUCACCAAAACUCUGGCGGCACCAUUUGUUUCGGAGAGAUCGAUGUCAUUUCCAAUACACCAAUUGACUAUAUUUACCAGGCCGCUUCUCUCCAUGGUCUCUUCUUCUCCAAAUGGGACUGCCACCUUAGAAAUGAAGAAACUCCGACGGCAUGGAGGUUCGGCGGUUUGGGCGAUGGUUAGUCGGAGUUUUUUCAUUUCUAAGGUGGCAGUCCCCAUUUGGAUACAGUAUUAUCUAAAUUGAUGUUAUAACACUAAAAUAGUAUUAUUCUGCCCUUCGAAAAUCAUUAAAAUAAUUUUUUUCUCAAAUUUAUUUUCAAUCAUACAUUAGUAUAAUAAAAAUAUUUUGCAGUAAAUUCAAUUUAUUAUUAUUAUUAUUAUUAUUAUUAAUCACACAUUAUCACAAUAAAAUAUUUUACACGUAAAUUUAAUUAAUUAAUUUAUUAUUAUUAUUAUAUUUUUUUCUUUUUAAUUACACAUUUUUCAAAAAAAUACUAUUUCAAUUUAUUUAUUUAUUAUUUUUUUUCCCCGAAAACCUGGUUGUCAAAGAGGGCGCAAGUCUUUAAUGAAAAUGUCGCAGACAAACUUAGAAAUAAUUCAUUAAGCCUUUGUUAGGUAAAUUCAUAAAUGGUUUAUAAAACAAAAUACAUGUAAAUUCUUAAAAUAUGUGAGUAAUGUUGAAUGAUUAAAAUUAUUAUUAAUUUUGAUAUAAUUCAUAAAUAUGGGGGUCAAAUGAAGUUAAUAUGGUAGCUUUAUAGGAACUUUUUAGUACGAAAUAGUGACGGGAAUAUGAAAUUUAUGAUUAGUAAUGAAUGAUAGUUUUUGAAUAUGUGGGGAAUAAUGAGGUUAAUAUGGUAGCUUUAUUGUUUAUUGUCCCAUUUCCUUUCCUCGAAACCAAAACCCAUCAACGAAUUUUGCUUAAACAUUCCACUUUAUAUUCGGGUUCAUCAUCAUACUGCAUGCUGCAAGACAAUGACAAAAAUAUCUGGAACCGGGUAAUCUGGCCAAUGCACUUCCCUUUUACUUUACGGCAAUUCCUCUUGUACAGAGGAAUUGAGCCUAUAUAAAUGCCUUAAUUUUCGAGAAGUAAAAGACUGGCUAUAUACUAUUGUAGCAGUGGAAUCGUUAUGAGGAUAAUCAAGUGGUGUUUGAAGAAGUUCCCUUUCUCAAAGAAAGCAUUGUUUAUAAUUAGUAAAUGAAGAAUAAUUAUGCUGAUUUUGAUUAUUUCCUUACUUCUAACACUUGGCUUAAAUUUCUGUCGGCCUCAUAUUUGUCCACAGUGCCGUAGAGAUGGCACUGCUAGAUAUACUGAUCACUCAUCUCCCAGGUGUAUGGAACCUAACAAAAUCGGCUAAAGCUGUCAAUUUACAAGAAGGAACCGCGGCAGUUCUGCAAAUUUUAUUUGCUUUUGCAUCGGAUGCCUAUCUGGGCCGCUUCAAAAUGGUGGUUUAUUCCACCAUCUCUUAGAUCAUUGUGAGUUUUGUAUUGAGAAAGGAGCGUCAAACCCUCCACCUUUUACUCUCAAAUGUCUUACUCAGAGAUUUUCAAAAUCAAUCGACUUUUUGUAGGGAUUGGUGCUCAUCUGGAAUGCAGCUAGGCAUAGAAAUAGAGAUAUUCUAACGUUCUACUUGGGACUGGUGCUAAUAACUCUGGCACAAGCAGCAAAAGUGGUAUCCUUGAAAGCAUUUCUUGAUGAUCAAUUCAUGGCGAAGGAUAUCCCAACCACAGAAGAGGAUAAAGAACGACAACAUAGCGGUAACAACGUUUGGUGGCACUUUGCAUCCAUCUUGGGAGCUAUUCCAGCUAUUUUUGUCUGGCAUUCAUUGAAGCUGCUUUCUAUGAUCUCAGCAAUUGCAAUGAUGGUUGCAUACUUGUGGUUCUGGUUAGGUACAAAAUUUUACGAAUGCAAUGGACCAACAGGCAGCGCCAUCUCUGAUGUUCUAUUUGUUAUCAAAACAGCGGUACUAAAAAGAAAUAUUCUCUAUGCAACUACUCCAGAGCAGCUCUUCCAAAAUUAUACAGGCGAUAGGCAUCGGAAAGUUUCUGAGUAUACUUUGUAUCCUCAUUUUCAGUAGCUGGUUUGGGGAAGAUAUAGAUUCAAGUCAUUUGGACAAAUAUUAUGCGAUGCUGACACUUUUAAAUUUUGUUAACUUACUAAUAUACUGGUUGGUUGCGUACUGGUAUGGAGAUGAUCAAUUUUCACCUGAAGUAGACAGUGAACCACUCAUAGAAGGUUCACAAGACAGUAUUGUGCCUUUUGUAUUGCAAUCCUUCUCUGAUUAGACGCGCAAUAACCUUCAAUAUAUAAGUGUUUCAACAAGGAGAACACUAUCCUUAUCUGAAAAGAUGCCCAAUAACCCUCCAUAUUUCAGUGUUUUCAGAAGGAAAACGUGGUCAUUCCCUUGUCUGGCUCGCCCUAUAAUUCCAAACAGGCUGGAUGAUGCAUACGAGCAGGAGAAUGAACAACUACUCGAUUUAAAAAUAUUUUACUGUGAACAUCGUGAUGUUUUGUGAAAUGGGUCAAUGUUAAAUUGAUCGUGGAAAGGUAUCAGAAUGGCUGCAAGACUCUAUCCCCUCAAACUCCUUCCUGUUAUUCCCCAAAGGAUCCUUCGUAUUAUGCUUUCUAAUACGUUGUGAUUACUAUUUCUCUCCCUUUGUAUUGCUUUGUUUUUCUUUUUGAUAUAGGUAAGUCUUUAAUCCAAAAAUAAUAUUUUUUAGCUUCGGCUUUAUUUUAUCCCUUUCAUCUGAUGGCUAAAACCACUGAUAAAUCAUCAGACCAAAAUGUGGUUGUUCCUAUUUCUGAUCCCUUCACAAACCCACAUUCAUAAUGGCAAAGAUCAUCAGUCAGUAUUUUUCUUGUGUGACAUCUAUUUUCAAUAGAAAACUAUAAUAAUUGGUACAGAUCAAUGUGCAUGGUCUUAAGGGCAAAGAACAAAUUGGGAUCUCCAUUAACGGUGUCCCAAGUUUACAAUCGCUAAAAUAAGAAAACAAAUUCUAAUUUCUCAACUAAUGGCAACCUAGGAAUUGGACGAACAUCUAAUUGAUGGGAGAGGACAGAAAAAUCAUUCAAAGAUUCACCGCAACCACUUGGGGAAAUAGGGUCAUACUAUUGACAAAUGCUACAAGUUACAUGGGUGUCCACCGCGUGAUACCAUUCGGCUGCCUGGUUUUGUUGCUGUUAUAUAAUUGUAUAUAGUUCAAACUUUGGGCCCUUUUUGGCUGAAAUUUGAAUAAAUUAAUGAUGAAAAUUGGAAAGUAAUACUGGGAAGUUUCUGCUUAACCAUGCGUAUGCAUGGGCGAUGCACAUGCACCGCCUUGUCUGCAGAAAACUGAAGCGUAGCUCCUACCAUGUGAAUGAUUAAAUGAUGAAAAUUGGAAGGCAAUAACUUUUUGCUCUUUGUACCUUUUGUUUUCUGUUAUCAAUCCUAUCCCCUAACAAGCACCCGUCUCCUAGUGCAUUUUAUUUCUGCACAACCCAAGACUUUGUAGAGCAUAAUAGAGAUCAUCUGGGGCUCGUGGGUUAUAUUGACAUGUAAAUGUGAGAAAUUGUUUUGAAGUAUAAUUUUCAUCAGUGUAUUAUUUGAUUAAUAAUGGCGAGGCUGUACAUGUAUUUCAGGCUGACAAUUUGCGGCAACAGACUUUGCAACGAAUGCAUAGUAUAUUGACAACUCGGCAAUCAACUCGUCCUCUACUUGCCAUCAACGAUUGCUUCUCUCAGCUUCGAGCACUUGGCUCUCUUGGGCUCCAUCGUCCCCGUGAGUAACAUCUCCCCAUUAAUGCAACUUGUUUUGUAUGUUUGUUGACAAUGUAGACUUUGGAGACGGCCAGAGUUACCAGACGGUUUCUGUGAAUUCUUCCCAUCAUCAUCAUCAUCAUUCCUGCAGCUUCAUCUCAUGUUGUGUAAAUUUUCAUUUUCAGUUAGUUGAAGUAAUUGAUUUGCAACCAAUGUUAAUAUAUUUAGAAAAAGAAAAAAAAUGGUCGGAUCGAUAAAUAUAGUUAGUUUAGAACAUUGUGUUUAAGCUUCACUUUUUCUGAAGUAGCGAGAAAGACUUUUCUAAAUUUGAAUGACGAUUGAUUACAAUUGAUUUGGAUGACGUAACAUCUUUUCAUAAAUUUUUAGUGAGAUUUUCGGAUGGUAGGUCACGGAAAGCUACCCCUUUUUAAUCUCGUAUGGUUUUGUUAACGAAUAAUGCUUUCUAGUUUCAAUGAUAACACUUCUCUUUUAAGUAAUGCGAUAUGUUGAAUUAAAAUGUGAUAAGUUUCGAGUUCCAUUUAAUCAUAUUUAAUUAACUUCGUAGGUUUAGUCUUUUUCCUUCAUAUGGAGCCUAAUGAAACAAUGUCUGAUUUUCGUGUCAUUUUCCCAUUUCCUUGGUGUUUAUAGUUUUUAUUUUAAAAACACAGUGAACUUCCAAAAUGUGUCAAAUUAGUUAUGGUACUUUUUUAAGCAUAAAUGUUUAUUGAAAUUACAAAAUUGGUUCGAUUAAGUCAUUCUCACGUCUCCAUUAUUAAAUUUAACAUUUUUUUUUAUAUGUCUAAUAAUGUAGUUUUAAGUGGCUGACGAUCUUGAUUAUGUUGCAUGAGUAUGUGAGAAAACACAUAUUCCACAUACAAUCUUGAUUUCACAGUGUUCAUUUUAACGAUUUAAUUCUUUCAACAUAAUCCGUAAUUCAGUUUUGGAGGCUUAUUUGCCCUCUUUUUCUCUAUGCUCAUUUAGGUUUAGUACACAAGUCUAGUUGUCUGAUGCGAUUUUGUUUGAAAUUUUUGGAUAUAUAUAUUAAGCCUAUCUUUGAUAAUCAUUAAAACAAAAUUCUUUUUUCUCAAACUCAUUUUUAACCCCCACAUUUUUACAAUAAAAUUAACAUUCUGCACGUAAAUUCAAAACUUAUUUUACUUUCAAAUAUAGAUUCUCCAAAAAAUCACUAUCACAUGACUAAUUUUCCCCAGAAACUCGUUUUAAUAGUUGUCAAAUAGGGAUUAAACAUCAGAAAAUCUCCUAUGAUUUACCAAAUUUUAGUCCUUGACCAGCAAAUAAUAAAUCAAACCGUAACAAGCAAAAACCCAUGUUUCAAUUCGACCUUCAAAAAAUGGUAUUGAUAUGACACGAAGAAAAUGCUACUUUCGAGUUAAAAAAUAGAGUGAUUUUGCAAUUUCUUCUUUAUUUUUCUUUAUUCUUUAUUUUUGUUUAUUUAAGGAGGAGUGUAUAUUUGUCAUUUUACAAUUUUAAUUGAGAAAAAGGAUGAAAAUAACGAUUUUGCAAUGAAAUAUGAAAUAAAGAUGCAAACGUCAAAAAAUGAAAGGUAGAGACAUUUUGCACAAAAAAUAAUGAAAGAUGAGGAUCUUUUGUGCUAAUUACCUUUUCAAUAAUUUAUUUGGACACAAUUGCAUUUCUUAAUAAGUUUGAGAUUAUGAUUGCAAUUUAUUCUUUAACUUUUCUUUUUUAUUGUUUUAUUUAAAUCGGGGGUGUAUUUGUCAUUUUACACGAGAAAUUUGAUGAAAAGGAUGAUUUUCGCAAUAAAAGAUGAAGGUAAUGGUAAAAAUACUAAAAAUUGAAAGGUAUGAACGUUUUACACAAUAUCAUUGAAAGGUAAGUACGUUUUGUACUACUAUUAAUUAUUUGAAAUCAUUUAAUAAUUUGCAAAUAUAUUAACAAAGGCCAUGUCAAGAGAAAGAGUCUAAGCACAUAGUAGGGGAUGGGAUUGAAGCCUAUAUAAACAAGAGCCACAUAUGAUAAUAUCUAAUAUGGGGACAAGAGACCCUUAGAAUUGGGUUCAAUGGGAAAAAUGAAUCAUAUGAUGGUCAUAAGAAAUGUACUAUUUACGUUAUUUAUUUUCUUAUUGUCCCUAUAGCGUGAGAGCAUUUAUCUUGUAAUGCUUUUGGAAGUUGAGUUUUCGUAUUAAAAAAAAUAAAAAUAAAAUCUCAAUGAGAUCUAUAGCACUUAUGAGUUGGUGGUAAGUAUUACAUGAGCACUCUUGAUAGUUUUCACCUAUGUGAGUGUGGAGUAGGGCUACUUUCUAUGAGAAUUGAGCUUAUUUUUAAAUACGUCAUGAAACCGAGAUUAGUACAAGAUCGUAACGUGCUGACUAUUAAAGCUUAUGUCAACACCUGAAUUGUUAUAUAUAGACAGUAAUUUUUUAUUUCCCUUAUGUAGUCAUAAUACAAUGCUGAGCACACUAUUGUCUCUCGAGUGAAGGUUUCUAUUUCACUAAGUGAAGAUUCAAUGCAGAGCACACCUUCAUGAUGCAUAAUAGUCCCCCUGCUUGGUAAUCUUUCUGUCUAUUUUAUAUUAAAAUGAGUGGGGAAAUGUUGGUACAUUUUAAUAUAUUAGUCAACUUUGAACGUGCGUUGCACAUUAUUAUGAAAUGUUUUAUAAGUGUUGUAAAGGUAAUAUUUGAACAUGCAUGAAUAUUAAUUAAUUUAAAAUUAAUACCAGGCAAUAUAUACAUAACUAUAAAUGUUAAAUCAUUUAUUUAAUUUCCAACUAUGUAAAACUAGAUGUUAAUUAGCAUAUAUGGAUGUGAAUAACAAAAUGUAUUCUUGAAUAUGAGAUUUUAAUUAACUUAUAUUUAGAAUUGAUAACACCGAAAUGCAUAAAUGAAGAUGAAUAUUAUUUAAAUAAAUGUAAUGUUAAUUAAUUGAGAAUUAAUAAUGGGUAAUUCAUACAUUAAUGAAGGCACACAGGUGAAAUGAAUUUGUCAAAUAUACAUGUAUAUUAAUGAAUUAAACACAUUGAAAAAUGAAAAGCAAGGUAUUAUUGAAAUAAUAGAAUUAUAGUAGGGCUAAAAUCGUUCAAAAAUGAUUCUCACUUAAUGUGAUAUUUAAUAUAUUAUAGAUUUAAUCUUUACGGGUUUUAGAAAUUAGGAAAGAGAAGAGGUUGGAGGUUUGAAAAUGAAAGGGAAAAUGUUUGUGUUUAUGACACCUUUAUUUUGGUGGCCUAUUUUUACCUAUAAAUAGGACUAUUCCUUGGUCAUUCAUCAGCACCAUAACAUUUACAAUUCUUUUAGCUUUUCUCCUUACAUUCUCACUCAUUUUCUUUGAGAGAUUAUAGAGCAAAGAAUGAUGUUCUUUUAGUGGAACUUUGAGCUCAACUACUUGUGCAAAGUUUGUUUGAGCUAUACGACGAACGAUCGGGCUAUUGUAUCUUGAAGGAGACAAGUCACAAAAAAGUUCCGCUAUUCCGUAUUUUAGGCUUUUCCAAUCGCAGAGAGCUUGAAUCUCCUUAAAGAGAGCAAGAUAUCCGUUUCUCAAUCCAUCCAAUUUCAUUAUUUUCCUAUUUAUUUUGUAACACCAUUUUCUAUUAUUGAAAUUUCACCAACGUAAGAGUUAGGGUGUAAUAGUUAUUUUACCAUAGUUAGAUCUUGUUGGUGGCACCUAAACUGUGCAUAGUGUUGGGCAAUUUGUUGUCAAUCGAUCUCUUCGGACUAUGAUGUUAUUCGAUUUUAAUCUUUAGUCGGCAUAGCCAAUUGACUGAACGAAAAUUAUAACACCACAGUUGAGACAACACAACCCAAAGGUUAAUUGGGCCAUUUGAAGUAACCUCAAUAAUUUAGUGUUGCUCAUGGCCUAACCCACUUUCUUGAAUGGCAAAAAAUGAGAGAGAAUUUACUUGGUAGCCCAUUUGUAUACUUUUGGGCCUCUACUUAACCCAAUCAUUAACCUAGUGCUACUUACCUUAUUUGGACUGUUAACAUAAUAUAUUGGGUCUCUCUUCUUCUUUGCAAGAACCCGUCUCACCUCUCUCUCUCAGUGAACUCUCGGCCUUAGUGAUUUCUUCUACGUCUCUGCCUCCUUUCAGUUCCUAUCUUUUGUAGUGAUUAUCAUUGAGAUAUUGCAUGCCUUUGUGGUCUUCUAAGUAAGCUAUCUCUUUGGUAACUAAAAGUGGAAGCUUGGUUUUGUCUUGAGUCGUUUGUUCUCGGGUUGUGGUGUAUUGGUUGGAAUAAACUGAACCUGGGCCAACGUUGGUGAUCAACAUACACUUUACACAGGUGAUGAAUGUGCGGAUAUCGCCAUUUCUCAAUCCUGUUGGAUGUUUCCUAGCAGUCACUUUACUCAAGACUUCAUCAUAUCUCUUGCUCUAUUCUCUUGGAUAAAUUUUUUCCUAUGGGCCUUGUCUAGUAAAUCCCCCAUAGGCUUUUGUUCAUCAUUUCCCUAACAAUAGAGAGCUUGGGAAGCUCGAAUGCAAUCAAGAUUUGAACAACAAUGGACACUCAACUUCUAGUCUAGCCUAGUAGUUUUUCUUAGUUGUGAUGCAAAUAGUGAGCCGAUUUGUGUAAAUGCAAUCUGUGCUAGAAAAUAGUUAGAAUAAGGAAAGCAUAUAGGGAAAUACGUAACUCUUGUACAUUUCAUUUUAGGGGCUCUUUUGCUCUUUAGUUAAACUUUCAACACAAUAGUUUUUAUGGGUACUAUUGUGAAUCUACUUAACAUGCAAAGCGAAAAAUUAAAAUAAUUUUCGAUUCUUACCAUGGAUCUCUUUGUGUUUAAAUAGAAACUGUAAUAAAGAUUGUACCUUUUACGAGAUUUGCAAACUCCUUUGCUUUUCUCUUGUUCUAGCAGUUUUGAUCUGUCACCCAUAGCUGUCCAAUUGUCCAGAAUCUAACGGUGAUCCACACAGAGAACAAGAUUGUAGUAUUAGAGUUUUUCUUGUACUAGCAAGAAUAAUGAAAAAUCUCUACAAUUUUGAAAAUCCUAAUCAUAUUUAUAUAAGUCCGAACGGGCUUGACCUGACCCGGUCCAACAUUUAAUUAACCCAUUUAAUUAAAUUCGGUUUGUAAACUAAUUAAUCCAACUAAUCAAUUCAGUCCUAUAAAUAGGCAACCCAAUUAAUUUAUUUAUCCAACACUUGUUAAAUUAAUUAAUUAACAAAUCACAAUUUUCCAGUCCUCCUUUUGUGUGCGACCUAUCAGGUUCCCGAUCACAAUGCCUAACGAUGUGAAAUAUUAUUUUGAUCUAAUCAAAAUUGAUAAAUUAAAAUACCCUUUUAAUCUAUCACAAAUUCACACUCACCGUUCCAGAUUGACAUCUAGUAAUGUGUCAGAGCAUUACAUGUGACGAAAAAUAUCACGUGGUAUGAUAAAACCAAACUUGUUCGUUUACCGUGAAACUAUAAUCCCUUCGUCAAUAUGAUCCGAUCAAUUACGAGAUAUGAAAGUGUGUCAAUCUUGAUUAUCGAUCAUAUAUUUCACUCCACUAUUAAGUCAAUAUAAUUCGAAAACUCCUUUUCGACUUAUAAGUACACUUUGGCCAAGGAUUUUAUUUUCGACUUAAUUGAAUGAAAUACAGAUCAUAAUCUCCUACUAUCUAAGAGUGACGAAUCCUCUAUUGGUCAUUCACAACUAGGGUUGGCAACGGUUCGGUUAUGGGUCGGUUCGACCAAAAAUCAUAACCGCACCACCAAUUUUUUGACCAUACCAUAACCGCACCAUAACUACGUAAAUCGGUUCGGUUUGUAUCUCGGUUCAGUUAGGUUAAUAACCACGAAAAUAAAUUAUUUUUUGUAGGUUCAUCCGUCAAAUUGAUAUAAAACAAUUUAUUAAAAAAGUCAAUGAAAACAUAAAUACAAUAUUCCAAACGAAAAUGCAAACAUUAUCAAACAAUAUUCCAAACAAAAAUGCAAACAUUAUCCCAAUUUUCAAUUGUAAAAUACAAUUUUAACAAACAAUAUUAUAAAUAUAACAAUACUAAACUUUUUCUUCAUUCUUAAUUGUUGUGCAUCGAAGUUAAUUGAUUCAUUCUUCCCCACAAGUCUUACUAGCAUAGAUCAACACUCAAAGUUGAUUCUUAUAUAGUAAAUAAGAAAUGUAAGUAGAGAAUACAACGAUACUACCUAUUUCAGAAUGGUCUUAACUAAGAUUUAAAUAAAAAAAUGUACCUCUUCGUCAGCUUCCUUCUCGCUAAACGUUGCACAAGUUCUAGAGUAUGAUGAAGAAGUAGAAUUUUCUACACACAAUAGGAAAAAAAUUAACAAUAAAAUGAGCCAUGCGUGAGUUUGUGGCUUGUAGAGAAUAGGGUUUGCAUUUAUAUACUAUCAUACUAAUGUUAUUAUUAUGGGCUAAUGCUAAGUGGGUUGGCUGAUCGAUUCAGGUAGAUGUAAUGGGGAGGAGAUUUUGUUUUGGGCUAAUAGAAAAGUAGUGUAAAAUCCAAUAAUCAAUUCAAUUGUUUUUUUAGUGGGUAAUCAGUUUGGUUUCGGUUCGACUGUGUAAAUAUCAUACCUGCACCGCCAUGAACCGAUUCAUUAAAAUAAAAAUCAUAUCCGCCCCAUUGCACCAUCGGUUCGAUUUUUUCACCCCAUUCGAUUCGGUUAACUGGAAUUUUCGAUUUUGACGGUUCAAAUUGCCAUCCCUAUUCACAAUCUUCAUAUGAUUCUUGACAUACCCGAACGAUGUCGUAUUAGUAUCCCUUGGCAGAGCAAUAUCCAACACCGUCAAAGCAUGACUGUCCUCAUAUGAGAUAUUAUGACGACCUCAUGUCAAAGGACCAAUCCCACUACCGAACGUUAGAGAUUAACCACUGACACUCAGAUAGUUAUCCAUGUGGAAUCUUUAGGCGGGUCUCCAAUGUUUUGUUCUACAAAAAAACAUCCACGUUUUCAUUUUAGUGUUACUUCACUUUAACUUGUGAGAUCAGCUACUUACUUCACAAGUAAGAAAUGCCACACGUGAUGGUUUAUCCGUAAUAGUGAUAUACGUAUCUCGUUAUUACAUACGACCACGAAUAAUUUAAGAUUCAAUCAUAUGUAAUUUGUUUUUCACAAUCACAACUCCUUGUGAUUAACAAAUUACGAAAAUUUGAAUCUACGGACUCUAUUUAUUAAUUUAAUUGUAUAUUAAUUAAAUAAUAGAUCUCCCAUUAAACUGUAUUAAUUAUAUAUUAAAAGUAUUUAUAUCCAAUGUUGAUUGGACUUAGGACAUAACACUUUCAAACUCUCACUUGCACUAGAUCCAAUCACUUAUAUAUCCAAUAACAUAAGAGUCCACAUGACGAUCAUAUUUAUAUUGCGACAACUCUUUGUCAGUGGAUCUGUAAUAUUGUCAAACAUGAGAAUUUGUUCUUCUCUUUACAUCAUUUUUAUGUAUUAUCUCUCUAAUGAGAUUAUAUCGCUUUAAUACAUGUUUGGAUCAUUGAUGAGACCUUAGUUCCUUCGCUUUCACGAUGGCUCUAUUGUUAUCACAAUACAAUGUCAUGUGAUCAACACUAUUAGGAACAACUCUAACUUCAUUAAUGAAUAUCUUGGUCCACAUUGCAACUCUUUGCUGCUUCUGAGGCAAUCAUGUAUUAGGUUUCCGCUAUUGAAUCAACGAUUGUCUUAUGUUUGGAACCUUUUCAACACAUCGUUUAAGAGUAAACCAAUUUUUUCACAUAAAAUCUUCUCAAGAUUUUAUUUAUAUAGAUUGGGACGAGUUAAGCAAUCUUUUAGAUCUAUCUCUAUAGAUCAAGUUGCUUCUCCAUAUCGUUCAUGAAUAAAUCCUUUAACAACCAUUAUUUCAACGAUUGAAAUAUAGGGAUGUCGUUUCCUAUGAUAUUAGGAAUAUGACAAUACUCCAACUAUUUUCUUGUAAACACACAAUUCAUCUUCAAAUUUAAUAAAAUCAAACAUUUUGACUUUUCCAUCAAAUUGAUGAUUUCAGCUCCAAGAGACUUGUUUUAACCCAUAGUCACAGUAUGCAACUAUUGCAACCUAAAUUCGAAUGAACUUCAGCAUGACUAAAUGCGAAAGGUUUCGUCAAGGCCAAUGCUUGACCUUUUGCUACUAGCCGUACUUUGUAUGUGUGGAUAUUCCCAUUCAUGUCGACCUUUUCUUUAUAAAUCAUUUACAACCUAUGGGUUUUAUCCCAUCAAGAGGGUCGACCAAGGUUCAAACCUUUUUUACAUACGUCGAGUUCAUCUCGAAUUUCAUGGCCUCUUGCCGUCUCUUUUAAGUCAAUACUUGAUUUUACUUUUGUGUAAUUAGUAGAUUCAUCAUCCUUGGAUCAAUAAUACCUGAUUAGUAAUCACGAAUUCGCACCUUCUUGAAAGUCGAAUGAUCCUACUAGAUUCACGCAGAGCUAACAUAUCCUCAGGAGUCUCUACUUCCUGAUUAAGAGUAUGCCCCACAUCAGAUAUGCGAUCAAACUCGGAUUCAUUUACUUGGUUAAUUAUAUCUGUGGACUUUUGAACUCUUUCAAGUCCUAUUUUGCUCCUACUGUCCUCUUUUAGAGUAAAUAUUUUCUCUAAGAGGACGAUAUAUCGUGAGACGAAGACUUUCUUCUCAGUGGGUUAAUAGAAUUGAUAUUUAAAUAUCUGUUUUGGAUAUCUCACAAAUAUGUAUUUAUCGGAUUUAGUCUCAAACUUAUUCGAUUCAAUACGCUUCAAAUAAAUGUCACCGUCCCAAACUUUCAUAUGAGAUAAAUUGGGACUAUUGCCUUUCCAUAGCUCGUAUGAAGUUAUGUUAACCAAUUUAGAUGUGACAUGAUUUAGUGUGUUGCAUACUGCAAUCAGUGCAUGACCUCAAAAAUGACUUUGGGAGAUUCGCAUGGCUUGUUAUUAAUCGCUCUAUAUCUAAUAGUUUACGAUUUCUCCUUUUCAAAUAAACCAAUUUGUUGCAGUGUAUAUGGAAGAGUCCACUGCAAGAGAAUCUCAUUCUCUCUUAGAUAAUUUAAAAUUUCACCUUUAAGAUAUUCUUCACUUAGAUUAGAUCUUAGUGUAAGAGUAUCCUUUCAUAUUUGUUUCUUUGCUUCUAACUUGAAUCCUUCGAACCUUUUCAGGAGCUCAUUCUCGAAUUUCAUCAAAUAUACAUAGCCAUUUUCGAAAUAGUCAUUAGUAAAUGUGAUGAAAUAAGAGAAACCUUAUCCAGCAUCAACCGACAUGGGUCUACAUACAUAACUAUGUAUUAGACCAGUAAUCAUGCAGAUAUUUCUCCUUUUCAAAUAAAAGGAGAUUUGGUCAUUAUGCCUAGUAGGCAGGACAUGCACUUGUCAAAUGAUUCAAAAUCAAUUGAUUCCACAUAUACAUCUCUAUGUAAUAUUAAAAUUACAUUUCAUCUAUUUGACCAAGUCUGCAAUACCAUAUUUAGGUACUAUUUAGAUUAUUUCUUUUAUGCUUUUUAACUUCUAUACUCAUUAUAGAAUGCUUAAUGUUUAGAAUAUAAAUGUUAUUUGUAGCUGACCAUAACUAUUAAGAUCUUAAUCAAGAUAAGCAUGAACAACAAUUGUCCAUAACAUUAAAUAGUUCAUGCUCGAACAUGAAAAUCAUUUUAAUGUCCUAGCUAUGGUGGAUAGAAAGCAACAUUUCUCUAAUUCCAAUACUAAGUCUAAAGGCAACAACAAGAAGUAUACUCCUACAGGCAAUGCAACAAUCUUUGCUCAUCUACAACGUGUAGGCCAACUUCUCCCAUUUGCAGUGGUCUACUUCAAUUUAGUUUCUCCAUAUUUGUAUAAAUAUAAGAUCCAUAUCUAGUAUCAAAUACCUAAGAAACUCAUGAAGUAGAGGUAAGCCUUGCAAUAUUUCUUCCAACGACUUUUCAUUCUAUAAUGAAACCAAAGGUCAUUAGAUUUGAUAUUGUCCUUUGCUUUGACGGUCUUAGCCAUAUUGGACGCUUUCACAAAGCCCAUUUAGACUUUCUAUUAAUAUCCUUAGAGGAAUUAAUGACUUGCCUACUCGUAACUUUGAUAUUGGGCAUAACAGUCUUAAGCAUGUUAAGCAGUUUAAUAAUUGUGCAUUCGAGCUUGUUCAUGUUAAAUUCAUAAUUAGUUAUGAAUAGCUUGUUGGAAAAAUGAGUGAAUUGGCUCACUUUUUGCACAAUUUUCGGUGGAACCCGUUGGUCCAAUUUGAAAUAUCAAAGUUGAUAUGUGUUCUCUUCCGCGAGAAUAUCGAAAUCAUGUAUUUAUUUGUCAAAAAUGAAAUUCGGAUGAAUGAGAAAUUGGAGUCUAAAGUGGACCAUUGGAAAUGGUCUAUGUUGGUGGGAAAAGUUUGUCCCACAUAAGAAAAAUAUGGAAACCAAAACCACUUUAUAUAUGGCUAUGCAUUGGAAUGGUGUGAUUAUGUGUAGCAUAGAGGCUCUCUCCACGUGUGCACAAGGGGGUGCAAAUCACGGACAGAAAUAGCCUUCGGACCUUGAACUUGAGUGCGGGCCCAACCUGCGCACACGAAUGUCUGACCGAACAGAGCAAAAACUGGUCAGUUUGGACUGUCCGCGUUUUGCAAUUCUUUUUUGUGGUUUUUCCAAAUGACUUUUGAGUGUCGGAAACUCCUAAAACUCCAAUGGUCGAAAUCGAAGUGUAACUCCAAAAACUACAAUGGUUAAUGCAGAAAACUAAUGGUCAGAUUCAAUCUAUAUAAUUCACUCAAUUUCCAGCAGUUCACUCACUGAAUUUUUCGUCUGCAAUUUUCAGCCUGUUUUCUGUUUUGUUCCGUCUCAUUCCAGUAAGGUGAUAUUGUUCGAACACUCGCCCAGUCCGUUGGAGUAGAAUUGGGGUGCUCGAAUUCUGCUGGUUACCGUUGUAUCCUGGGAGACAGGCGCUCGAACUAAACCCUAGCACCACGGUGAGGGGGUGAAUUUGUCUUAAGAAAACUGUGUUUACACAGGCUUUGGGUUGAAAUUAUAUUUGCUAUUUAUUUAGUUUGCAAUUUUACAGAUUUAUUUAUUUAAUUUGCAACAUACUUGAAAUUUAUGUUAAAAAUAGAUAAAUAAAAUAAACUGUUUUCUCUAAUUCGUUAUAUGUGUGAAAAAUAGAUUUCAGAUAUACGGUAUUUCUAUUUAUAAGAAAAAAAAAUUUGAUAUUAUUUAGUUAGUGUAUGAAUAAAAACAUUUUAUGCAAAAUUUUGUGUAAAUACAGUGAGCUUCGCCUGCAAAUACAGUAAGCUGCCAUAUACGGUGAGUAACACUGUCAAAUACGAUGAGUUGCACUGUCAAAUACAGUGAGUUGCAAAUACAAUGAGUAGCAAAUACGGUGAGUUGCACUGCCAUAUACAGUAAGCAAUUGCCAAAUACGGUAAGUGUAAAAUCAGGUAUCUAAAACACAAAUAUGAUAUAUGAGAACCCGAUUCCACUCCAAACACUACCGAUUAAAUAUAACAACAAACUUAAGACAAAUUCUUAAUACGUAUUGAUAGUAAACAAGUUUAUUUAUUUAUUGGAGACUAAUAAUUGUUUCAUUUUCAGAAAUGGCUGCCGAACCAACCAACAUGGAUGUGACCCAAACUGUUCCUGUUGAAAAUGAAGAUGUGGGCUCUACUAUGGCUCAAGGGCCAAGCUCUGCUGUGGCUAACUUGCCUAGUCGUGUUGUGAGUCAAACUGUGGCUCCAACAGCUGGCCAAACGGUUAGUGUUCUGGUUAAUCAUGGAGAGAAAUCGGAGAAAUUCAAUGGCUUGAAUUUCAAGAGAUGGCAGUAGAAAAUGCUAUUUUACCUGACCACAAACUGUUAAGAUGGUGGACUCCAAGACUGUUAUCAGUCAAGUGCAAGAACUCCAAGUGAUUUUUCACGAAAUUCAUGCCGAAAGAAUGGUGUUGAGUGAAACCUUUCAAGUGGCAGCAAUUAUUGAAAAAUUGCCCCCCGCAUAGAAAGAUUUCAAAAACUAUUGAAGCACAAAUGAAAGGAAAUGAAUGUUGAAGAACUUAUUGUUAGACUUCGAUUUGAAGAAGGUAAAAAAAGUUCAGAAAAGAAGUGGUUCAAUCCUGGUGUUGCUAAAACCAAUGUUGUGGAGCAUGGUUAAAGCAGUAAGAGUUACAAAAACAAGUUUGGGCCAUCCAGUGAAAAAAGACCAAGCACGAACCGAAAGGUGGAAUUUCUAAGAAGAAAUUUCAAGGGAAAUGCUUCAAUUGCAGAAAAGUAGACCACAAGUCUUCGGAGUGUAGAAUGCCAAAGAAGAAGAUGAAAGAAGCAAAUAUGGUUGACUACAUGACACAAGAUGUCUCUGAAAUGAAUCUCGCAGCCGUCAUUUCUGAAGUGAACAUGGUGGGUUCAAACCCUAAGGAGUGGUGGAUUGACACCGGUGCUACAAGACAUGUGUGCUCUGAUGAAGAGCUGUUUGCUACGUUCGAAGCAAUUGAGAACAGAGAGAAGUUGUUCAUAGAAAAUUCAGCAACCUCUGAAAUCAAGGGUCAAGGAAAGGUGGUUUUAAAGAUGGCCUCGGGAAAGGAGCUGACUCUCAACAAUGUGCUAUAUGUGCCGAAAAUUCGUAAGAAUUUAUUGUCCGGGUCGCUUUUGAAUAAGCAUGGUUUUCGCAUUGUAUUUGAGUCAGACAAAGCCAUUCUAUCAAAAAGUGGAAUGUUAGUCGAAAAAUGUUAUGUUUCCGACGGUAUGUUUAAGCUGAAUGUAAUGGUUGUGAAACUAAAAAUGAAUAAAGCAAAUUCUUCUGUUUAUUUGCUUGAGUCUUCCAGUUUGUGGCAUGAUAGACUAGGACAUGUUAACUAUGAUACUUUACAUAGACUAGUUAACUCGAAUAACAUACCCAAGUUCCAUAAUGAUUCCAAACAUAGGUGUGAAACUUGUGUUGAGACAAACUUGUGUUGAGACAAACUUGUGUUGGAAAAAUGAUUGAAUUGGCUCACUUUUGGCACAAUUUUCGAUGGGACCCGUUGGUCCAAUUUGGAAUAUCAAGUUGAUAUGUGUUCUCCUCCGCGAGAACAUCGAAAUCAUGUAUUUAUUUACCAAAAAUGAAGCUCGGGUGAAUGAGAAAUUGGAGUCUAAAGUGGACCAUUGGAAAUGGUCUAUGUUGGUAGGAAAACUUUGUCCCAUAUAAGAAAAACAUGGAAACCAAAACCACUUUAUAUAUGGCUAUGCAUUGGAAUGGUGUGAUCAUGUGUAGUAUAGAGGCUCUCUCCACAUGCAUACGCAGGGAGUGCAAAUCACCGACAGAAAUAGCCUUCGAACCUUGAACUUGAGUGCGGGCGCGACCCGUGCACACGAAUGUCGGAUCGAACGAAGUAAAAACUGGCCAGUUUGGACUGUCCGCGUUUUGAAAUUCUUUUUUUUUUUUGUUUUUCCAAAUGACUUUUGAGUGUUUGAAAGUCCUAAAACUCCGAUGGUCGAAAUCGAAGUGUAACUCCAAAAACUGCAAUGGUUAAUGCAGAAAAUUAAUGGUCAGAUUUAGUCUAUAUAAUUCAUUCAAUUUCUAGCAGUUCACUCACUGAAAUUUUCGUCUGCAAUUUCUAGCCCGUUUUCUGUUUUGUUCUGUCUCAUUCUAGUAAGGUGAUAUUGUUCGAACACUCUCCCAAUUCGCCGGAAUAGAAUUGCGGUGCUCGGAUUCUGCUGGUUACCGUUGUAUCCUGGGAGACAGGCCCUCGAACUAAAACUCUAGCAUCACGUUGAGGGGGCGAAUUUGUCUUAAGAAAAUUGUGUUUACACAGGCCUCGAAUUGAAAUUAUAUCUGCUAUUUAUUUAGUUUGCAAUUUUGCAGAUUUAUUUACUUAAUUUGCAACAUACUUAAAAUUUAUGUUAAAAAUAGAUAAAUAAAAUAAAUUGUUUUCUCUAAUUCGUUAUAUGUGUGAAAAAUAGAUUUCACAUAUACGGUUUUUUUAUUUAUGAGAAAAAAGACUUGGCGUUAUUUAGUUAGUGUAUAAAUAAAAACAAUUUAUGCAAAAUUUUGUGCAAAUACGGUGAGCUUUGCCUGCAAAUACAGUAAACUGCCAUAUAUAGUGAGUUACACUGUCAAAUACGGUGAGUCGCAAAUAAUAUUAGUUGUCCUGCCAAAUACGGUGAGUUGCACUGCCAAAUAUAGUCAAUUGCACUGUCAUAUACGGUAAGCAAUUGCCAAAUACGGUAAGUGUGAAUUCGGUGUCUAAAACACAAAUAUGGUAUAUGAGAACCCGAUUCCACUCCAAACACUACCAAUUAAAUAUAAUAACAUAGCUUUCUCUGACAGAGAUUACAGAACCAAGUCACUACUUAGUUAAUGGUUUAUGAUUGAACUCAAUUGAGACAUUUCUCAACGUCAAUCAUUUUCAGUGUCUAAGAAUCGACUGAAGAUUACUCUGUCAUUUUGCAUCGGUAUUAUUGCUUGGAAGUCCAUAUCAUUCCACACAUGAUUAUUAUCAUACAACUCCUUGAAAUGACAAAUCAUGCGUUAGCAUCUAUAUUCUCAAGUUACUUUUGUAACUUAGGCGACAUAGUCACAAGCAUCAUAUGUAUGCAGUACUAUCAUCAUCACCAUGUUUAUUACAAUAGCCACAUCUUCCUUAAUUGAGUCAUCAGUAGGUGUCUCUGAAAAGGGCUACUCAAGGACGAAACUAAUUUUCUCAUGCAUGAGAACAAUUCUCAAAUUGCGGUGCCAAUCAAGAAGAUUUGGUUUGGUUGUUGGCAUCCAGUAUGCCACUCAAAUACAUAUGGUUACUCACGAUUCAAUAAAUAUAAAUGAUAAAAAGAAAAAGAAUAAUAUAUAUAAAAUGCAUCAAUUAAUUUAACAUGGACUUUUAUUAAAUUAUAUAUAUAUAUGGAAUUUUUUUAGAAAUCACACCGUAUCAAAAAAUUGUUAAUGUUUAUGGAUUUGCAUAUCAUAUUCCACAUGUAAUUCAAUUGUUUGACGAUACACAUUUUCACUGAAGUAAACAUACAUUUUGUAUAACUUAUCUCGCAUAUCAACGUUUCAAUCAUGAUUGUGAUCUUUAUGCGAUAAAGUUUGUUGACUAUAUCAUAAACGAAAAAUUGAUCUCAUGGCUCAAACAAUCAAUCCAAUCAUAACUAUAUCACAUCUGGCAUGUCACCUUUUCAAACAUGGAUACGAGAAGUUGAUUAAAGCAUAUGAUAUGGAUUUCGACUUAGUACCACACAGCAUAACGCGAGACACGAAGUUGAAGGGUGUGGUGAUAUCGUAGUAUUGUUUGAACAGAUUUAAAUUAUUUUUGGACAAUUAGUUGAAUGGUAGUCUACAUAUUCAUUUCUGUUUGUUUAACAGUAUUUUAAAUCUUUUGCCAUAUUUUUGACAAUUAGUUGUAGGUAGUCUUUUGGUUUAUGUUCGGGUUAUCUAAUUCAAAUGUUUUGCUGAUGUUUCAUUUUGGUAUGUAAAAAGACAAGAUAUGAUAACAUCUCUUAAUGAAAUGUCAUUAAGUAUCCAUUUUGCUGCAAAUGAAUUCAAUUAUCUUUUUACAUGAAUAUCAGUUCAUGAAAUUAGCAUUAUGUAUUUUAAAGUUAUAGGGGAACAGAUAAGUGAUCAUGCUAUACACAAGUCUGCAUACACUUUUCCCCCCAUAAUACCAUAGUCCAUGUGUGUGAUUUUGUACCCAUCACUAUGUUCAUAACUUGGUUGUGUUAUGAUGCAAUUUCAUUUGAAAAUGCAUGUUUCAGACGUGUAAUGCAUAAGAGGUGAGACGUGCUUCCUUGAGCUUUAGCUCCAUGCAGACCUAGCGGAGACAUUUCAAUAUUAUCAACAUACUCAAUCUUAAGACAUGAUUUCCUCCAAGUAUUUGAAAACAUAUGGAACCAAAAGACCAAACAUUUAUGAUCCGUUCUUCACAAAUACAUUUAACAAGUCUAUUUCUAUCUAGAAGAAAAUAAUAAUAAUAAUAAUAAUAAUAAUAAUAAUAAUAAUAAUAAUAAUAAUAAUAAUAAUAAUAAAGUAAGAAACUACAACAACAUAAAAGAUUCUCUCACUUAUUUAUAUGAUAUAUCAUAGUUUCGUUGAAUCCCAAUUAAAAUAUUAUACAAUGAUAGAUGGUAUAAAUUCGCAUACACAACAAGUAAUAUUCAAAAGAUUUUAUAUGUAAUCGAGAUGUCAUACAUUUUGUGUAAUUCCCACAAUAAAUAUUAAAUAUUGGACCAUGCUAGAUGUACCUAAUUUUUUUUUACCUAAUGCUUUACAUACACUCACAAUAGGAGUGUGGGAACCACAUGUUGAAAUUAUUUUAUUCACGUGGGGGUCCACGUGCUAGUGAGAGUAGAUAAGCCAUUUGAUAAAUCAAAUUAUGUACACUUAGAAUUAUCCUUAAAUAUUAUCCACAUCAAAAAUUCUAAUAUGUAUAACGUAAUAAUCGAAAUGUCAAAAAAUGUUGAAAACUGAAUUACACGGUUGGUAAAAAAGUAUAGAUUUUAUCAAUUUAACACAUCUUGUGAAGAUUGAGUCAAAAGGGUUUAAAAGAAGUAUGAAAUCACCCAGAUAAGAAACCCCACAGAUUUUUAAUACACAUUUAUGUAAUUUUUCUGAGUUUUUCAUGAGAUUAUAAAUUGAACAGAUAAAAACAAUUCCAGAGGUAUAAUUUAACUCACCAUCAAAAUCAAUAUAUGAAAUAUGCUUGAUCGAUGUGGAGGACGAGAAAUAUGUGCAUUCAGCUUUAUAGUGAGAUGGAAAAUAUAUAUAUAUAUAUAUAUAUAUAUAUAUAUAUAACAGUUUAUAGUUCUUGAAAUUUUAUAUUCUAAUGAGGCAUAUACAAAAUUUUCCGCUAAAAGAUCAACAGAACCGGAUAAACUGAUUUUCGAGUCAUCGGUUAGUGGCUUAAACCGAUAAAUUGAAUGAUUUUUUAUAGGAUUUGAAUUAAGUAGGUUUUAAGCAAUAACAAGAUCAGAUUUUUGACCAAUUCAUGAGUUUUUCUGUUGUACCGUCCGGUCCGGUCUGGUCUGGUCUGGUCCGAUCAGAUUUUUAUAACAUUGGUUAAAGGGAAAAGUUCACACUUCAGGUGUAUUCUUUGUAACAAUUCAAAAGUAAGGUAGAAAGUUUAAAAAUUCAAAAUUCAUAUAUAUAUUUAAUUAAUUAAAAAUAUUUAUUAAUUAAAUAUAAUAAAGUCACAGUUAUAGAAUUAAUGGUCACACAUAUACAAUUAUAGGUCACAAUUUAUUUAUUGGUAACAUAUUUUCAAAUUAAUUAGUCACAGAUUAUUAUGAGGUCGCAAAUAAAAAAUUUUAUAAGUCACAUUUUAAUUCUUUGGUCACAGAUCAAAAAAAUUAUAGGUCACAAUUUAUCAAUCAGUCACAUAUUUUUAAAUUUAUUGGUCACAGAUAAUCGAAUUUUAAUGUCACACUUUAAUAGUUGGUCACAUGCACCCAAACACUUGAUCCCGAUCCACCAAUACUUGGUUACAGAUCAACCAAAUAGUUUGUUACAGAACUCUUCGUCCCAUGAUGUUGUUGCCUCCGCCAUCUCCAUCGCCAGUCACAACCACCACCUACAAUAACAACAACACAACCUAUAGAGCCUCCACCGAUAAAGAAUGACUACCCAAUUGCCUGCAGUAACACCACCAUCCUAAACCUCCAACGAUGCUCACACAGAAAGAAUGACUGCCCACGAUCUAUAGAGCCUCCAGUGAUCCGAGCCUCCAACGAUUCAGCUCCCACUACUGCCACAUCCACCAAUAGCCACCGUCUCCAUCUCACUACAAAACACAACCCUCACCAAAAAUGUCCCCAAAUCCACCGUUGGCACUAUUAACAAUCAUCGACCACCACAACAAUCAACACAAGAAAAUUGAUGAAAUAGAGCUCCUCACCACAUAGCUUCACCUCAAUACACCAAUCUGAAGCGCAUCAUGUCGAACAAAGGCAGUAAUUUUGCGUGUGGUGAAGAAAAGGACGACAGUGGCGUAAGAGAUGGUUCUGUGCAUCUCGUCAAUCAACGUCGCACAGAUCGACAGCGGUGCGGUGAAGAGAGAUUGGCGAUGGUACGGCAAAGAGAGACGAGGAAUGGCAAAGAAAAAUGACUGGAGACGGCAGGGGCAGCGGGGCUUGGAGUCGCCGUCGCCGUUGUGAAGGAGAAGAUGGGGUAGGUCUCCGGUGGGGGGGGGGGUAACAGAGGGAGAAUAUGGGGAGAGAGAGAGAGAGAGAGAGAGAGAGAGAGAGAGGGAGAGAGGAAAUGGUUAGGGUUGGAAUUGGGGAAGAUAUUUAAUUAUCUUAUUCAUCCCGGAUUUGUGAAUAACAAAACUUGAUAUCAGAUUUUUGAAUUGAGAAGUUCAAAAAUCUGUUUCCAUGUAAUUUUUCCUUGGUUAAAUCAACCAACGAAUAAACCAUGUGAGCCGCUAUUUACAUCAACGAUUAUUAUAUAUUCAUUCUACUCUAUAUCUAUCCCCAUUAAAAUAUUAAAAUUUUAUAAAAUUAGUAUUUUCAUCUACGUCACAUUUUAAUAUUGUCCUUAUUAGAAUUCAUUCAUUUAAACAUUAUAGAUCUAUACAAAUCUUGUAUAUUCAUCCACUCUAAAAACAUCCCCAAUACAAUUUCAAAAUUUUGGAAAAUCAUUAUAUUCAUCAAUAUUACAUAUAACAUCAAGAUGGUAUUCUCGUGUGUCGUUCAUUUGAACUUUCGAUUUAGAACAUAUAAUUUAAAAAAAAUUGAGAUCUAAUUAGCAGUCGAUUUGAAAUAAGAGAAAUGUUCAUGCAUUUUGUACGUUUUCUUUUUGUGGAUGCAGUAAAGGGUUAAUUUAGUUUAUAUUUUAAUUUCAUAGAUGGAUCAACCAGUAAGGCUGGCAAAUGCAUGGCUAAUAAUAUAUUAUUAAUCACUUAAAUAUAUUAUCAGGCAUUGUAAAGUUGAAUUAUUGAGGCAUGUGAAUUAUUUAUCAGGUUUUUAACUUUGCAAUUUUUUUUUUCAAUUAAUUAUAACAGAAACGGAAUGGUAUUAGAUAUACCAACAUUGCGAAAUAAAGAUAUUUUAUUUCAUUACGACAAAGGCUCACCACAAUAAUGAAAUAAAUGAUCUCGUAAGAGAAUCACAUCCAAUUUGUGUUCGUGCAUGUUGUUGUACGAAGGAAACAGUGCGAUAUGGACCAUUUAAACUUUUUAUAAAUUUGUUUACAUCAUAAAUAUCUGAAAAAUCAAUUUUCCCCACUUUGAUUCAUCUUACAUUAGGAAGAACAUGUGGUGCUUUAAUAAAUCGGUAUUUCAGUUUUCCUUCUCCGCACAUCUUCCUAUCAUUUAAGAGCUCUUUUUUUUUUUUUUUAGCCCCUCCGGGGUGACCGAGUUGGUGUAGUAGGUGAGCGCAGAGGCCUUUUGUCACGAGUUCGAUUCUUCCUACAAACACUUAUUUGUGAAUAACAAAACUUGAUAUCAGAUUUUUGAAUUGAGAAGUUCAAAAAUUUGUUUCCAUGUAAUUUUUCCUUUGUUAAAUCGACCAACGAAUAAAACAUGUGAGCAGCUAUUUACAUCAACGAUUAUUAUAUAUUCAUUCUACUCUAUAUCUAUCCCCAUUAAAAUAUUAAAAUUUUAUAAAAUUAGUAUUUUCAUCUACGUCACAUUUUAAUAUUGUCCUUAUUAGAAUUCAUUCAUUUAAACAUUAUAGAUCUAUACAAAUCUUGUAUAUUCAUCCACUCUAAAUACAUCCCCAAUACAAUUUCAAAAUUUUGGAAAAUCAUUAUAUUCAUCAAUAUUACAUAUAACAUCAAUAUGGUAUUCUCGUGUGUCGUUCAUUUGAACUUUCGAUUUAGAACAUCUAAUUUAAAAAAAUUGAGAUCUAAUUAGCAGUCGAUUUGAAAUAAGAGAAAUGUUCAUGCAUUUUGUACGUUUUCUUUUUGUGGAUGCAGUAAAGGGUUAAUUUAGUUUAUAUUUUAAUUUCAUAGAUGGAUCAACCAGUAAGGCUGGCAAAUGCAUGGCUAAUAAUAUAUUAUUAAUCACUUAAAUAUAUUAUCAGGCAUUGUAAAGUUGAAUUAUUGAGGCAUGUGAAUUAUUUAUCAGGUUUUUAACUUUGCAAUUUUUUUUUUCAAUUAAUUAUAACAGAAACGGAAUGGUAUUAGAUAUACCAACAUUGCGAAAUAAAGAUAUUUUAUUUCAUUACGACAAAGGCUCACCACAAUAAUGAAAUAAAUGAUCUCGUAAGAGAAUCACAUCCAAUUUGUGUUCGUGCAUGUUGUUGUACGAAGGAAACAGUGCGAUAUGGACCAUUUAAACUUUUUAUAAAUUUGUUUACAUCAUAAAUAUCUGAAAAAUCAAUUUUCCCCACUUUGAUUCAUCUUACAUUAGGAAGAACAUGUGGUGCUUUAAUAAAUCGGUAUUUCAGUUUUCCUUCUCCGCACAUCUUCCUAUCAUUUAAGAGCUCUUUUUUUUUUUUUUUAGCCCCUCCGGGGUGACCGAGUUGGUGUAGUAGGUGAGCGCAGAGGCCUUUUGUCACGAGUUCGAUUCUUCCUACAAACACUUUUUCGAUCGAGCCUGUCGCACUUGACUUGCCUAGUACGGUUUACCUGGUUGGCGUGGUUUGCAGGCUAUUACGUCAGCUUGAAGGUUUGCCUAGUGGCACCCGAAGGGUAGCGGCCGGAGGCUCCCCGUCAUUAAAGAGCUUUUUUUUUUUUUUUUUUAGCCCCUCCGGGGUGACCGAGUUGGUGUAGUAGGUGAGCGCAGAGGCCUUUUGUCACGAGUUCGAUUCUUCCUACAAACACUUUUUCGAUCGAGCCUGUCGCACUUGACUUGCCUAGUACGGUUUACCUGGUUGGCGUGGUUUGCAGGCUAUUACGUCAGCUUGAAGGUUUGCCUAGUGGCACCCGAAGGGUAGCGGCCGGAGGCUCCCCGUCAUUAAAAAAAGAAAAAAGAAAAAGAGCUUUCUGCUUUUAGUCUUGAUUUUAGUUGAAGAUGAUAUUUUAUAAUUAUUAGGGUACAUUUGAUUGCAAAAUGAAAUUUAUAUGGAAAGAAAAUAAAUUAUAAGUAAUUUAAUUAUUUAGAACUUAUUUGCAUAGAAAUUGUCAAUUAAAUGUGUUUGAUUGAUUUAAUUUUUAACCUAAAAAAUAUUAUACUUGUCCGAUUUUUUUUUUUUGGUAGAUGAUAGAGAGUGGAUAGAUGAGAGAGUGUGAAUUCUCUAGAAAAUAAAAUUCUACUCCCUCUAAAGAAAAUAUUUUUCUUAAUUUUGAAGAAAAUAUGGUCACGUGAACAAAAGUAGGAAAAUAUUUUUCAUGGAAAAAAUAUCUUUCAAACAGCAUAAAAAUAAGAUUUUGGCUGGAAAAAAUACAUUUUUCAUGAAAAAUAUUGGCAAUCUAACAAACCCUAUAGUUUUAGUCAAACACAAAUUUUAAAAGAAUAUAAAAAGAUCCAAGAGAAUUUAAUGAAAAUAAAUAUUUGUGAAUGGAAUUAGAGUGAUAUAUUUUUAUUUUAAAUAAAGUUACAUAAGAUUAAAAAUAUAAUACAAUUAUCCUUUUAAAAGUGGAUGUACAUAUAAAAACGUGGAUGUAAAUAACGUCUUCCACAAAACUAUAACAUAUUUAUGACUUAACUGAAAUGACUUUAUAUUGGGCAACCAUUUAAUUCAAAAAGUAAAAUUUAAUAAUUAAAGUGACAUGUUUUGAAGGUUUGGCAACAAGCCCAGUUUUUUGCCGAAUUAGCUUUUGUUUGGCAAAAUUUAUAUAUUAUUUUAAAUAAUCAAACUUCAUUUUUAAUAUAACAUUUUAAUGGACUUAUUAUCCUCUUAUCCAAGAUAUAAAUUAAAAUCAAUUACUGUUAAUCUAUUAUCAUAAACUCUUAUAAUAAAAAAAGGGUGCUGCUAUUUUUAUUCACUAGUCUUAUAUAUUUAGAGGGCCGAUAUUUCCAUCCAAAAAAAAAAAAAAAAGGAGUACAUUCACACAAGCAUUAAUAAGUGAUAAUGAGCUAUUCCAUAAAGAAAUUAUCAUCAAGUCCAAUAUGAAUUGCUUUGAACUACUUAUCAUCAACAAAAAGGAAUGCAUUCACACUCGCAGAAUGUGGAAUUGUAUGUAAAUGUGACGGAUUCGUAAUUUGAUCUUAAGCAUAUAUUUUACGAGUAGGACCUAUACUUCACACGGACAAUUUAUUUCAUUUGAUCGUUUAUUGAUAAUAUUGUUCCUUUCUUUAAUGAAUAUGAGAUCGCGUAGAUGUAAUACAUUGGUUUAGAUAGAUAUAUGAUGUGAUACGUUUAAGCAUUAUUUAUAAUAUUACCAUUUCAAAUGGAAAGAGAUACAUAGAUAUGUGUGAAUGAAUGAAUUGAGAGAGGGCGGCUUACAAUUUUGAAUGGUAUUCAAAUAGGAUUUCACACGAUCAAUUAUAAGGAAAAACAGAAAUACAACCAAACUACUUUCUCACAAAUUUAUUUAGCCGAAAGGAUAUAUUGCUUUAGAUAGAUAUAUUAUGCGAUACAUUCAGGCAUGAUGUAAUGAUAUUAUUAAUCCAUUAGAAUCCUGAAGAUAAGUUUGCUUUCCAUUUAUUUUUUUAUUUUUUCAGUUGUCCCAAAUUAUGUUAUUUUCCUCGUUGAGAGUAUAGCUAAUUUUUUAGUUUUCAAGUAUAUACUUAUUCAUUGUGUCUUAUCAUCAAUAAAUAUGAAUUACUCUUAUUUAAACUAUUAUUUAAUUUAUGGGCAUAUUAGAGAAAUAUAAUUAAAAUUUAUAUUUCCAACUAUGUUAAUUACAUUUUCUUAAUCUGUUUGAAAAAUGAAAGCAAAUCUAUCUUUAUGGGAUGAAGAGAAUGUUUGAUAUUGAAAAGAGAUGCAUAGAUUUGGGUAAAUGCAUGAAUGGGAGACGGAUGCUUACAAGCCUGGCUGGUAUCAAAGAAUUCCGUUAAAAGAAAUUUAUCAAUAAGGGUAUGUUUGAUUGGCAAAUCUUUUCCAUGUUCCAUUUUCCCAUUUUCAAGUGUUUAAUAUGGUUUUUUUUUUUUUUUUUGCCAUGGAAUUCAAGUUCCAUGUUUUCUUGGACUUCGAACUUUUCUAGCUUUUUAGGAAAAAAUCAAUUCCCAGCAUAUUCUUGGUUACUGUAGCGCAUACAUAUUUUUUUCCCUUUUUUUUUUUGGUUGGCAAAGUUAACAAAUUCUAAGAAUUAUUGUAAAAAAAAUAUUUCCCUUUAAUUGACAAUUUUCAUAUAAAACAAAGUCAAAUGAAUAUCAAAAGAUAAAUGUUUUUCUUGAUUUUUUUUUUUUUAGCAAUGGAAACAAAUUUCAUCUCCAACACCAGUAAAUUAUAUUCCUUUAAUUGACAAUUUUUAUGUAAAAUAAAGUCAAACGAACAUCAAAAAACACUUUUAUUUCAACAUUUUCCACUUGAAAAUUUAUACCAAUAAAACACAAUAAUUUACAAUUCUCAGGAAAAUAAUUUCUAGACAAUUCAAUUCCCUAAAAUUCGUUUUCAAUUCAAUUCAAUUACAUCUUUGCAAUCAAACGGAUCCUAAGUAUCAUUAUAAAUAAUAAAAAGAUUUAAUGAAGCACAAUCAAUAAUUAUCGGCAACAUGAAUGACGACAUUGUCUUUAAUAAUCACUGGUGAAUGUAUGACAGUGGUCUGUAUAGCUCUGUCUAAAUCACCAUAAUCAUUAAUAAUCACACUACAUAUUAGGUGACAAUUUCACAGAUUAAUUGAUAUAUUAUCUUAAGUGGAUAUGAGUCUCAUUUUGAUGUUGUAUCAAACUCUAUAUAGGGUAAAGUCUCAUUCUUUAAUGACAUUUGUAAACCCGUCCUCAACCUAAUUCUAAGAAUUAUUGUCAUUCAUCUGAUAGUCAAAUCUUUAAAUUAGCAUAUUUAAAAAUUAAAAUUGACCUUAUGCAUACAUCCUCUGCUGUCAAUCAUCCUUAAAUAAAGCAUCUGAAUAGAAUUUUAGGCCUCUCUCCAUCAUAGGUGAUUUAUCCAUUGGUCUUGAUGUCAUAUAUCCAAGAUAACGGGAUCUCUAAUAGGUAUUAAGAGCAUUUCCAAUUGUGUUAUAAAAUAUGGCUAAAUUGUGAUUUAGAUCUCCAAACUAGUUGUAAACCUCUUCGAUGGAGAGAUGUAAAGGAAAUGCAAAUUGUAUUUUUUGACAGAAAAUAUAAAAUUCAAAAGAGAAAAAAAAAGAAGUGAAUUUGGAUCUUCUCAUUGGAGCAAAAUUUGAAUUUGGAUCCAUUAGAUUGUAAAUAAGAAUGCAAAAAUGAUCUAGGAAAUAUCAAAUUUCACCCAAUUUUACACUAUCAUUGAAGAUGCUCUAACUAUAGAAUUUGUACUAUUUUUUAGACUUGUUGGGUUUGUGAUCUCAAAAAGCGAGAAGCAUUACUUUGAAAGUAAGAACAUAUUAUAAAUAUUUAUGACCAAUUUUAUAAAUAUGAAAACUCAUGGAGAAUUUGUAAAAAUGUGUAAUAUUAGUAUGUAAUUUAAAAUGUAUUUCGUCGUAAAGUUGUGUUUCCACAAAAUUCAAGCCUUGACACUAGUAGCAUUGCUCAAUCUCCAAACCUGUGAAAACCCAUCUGACCCAUCCUACCUUCCACAAGUAACCCAUUUCAUUGUUUUCUUCGAAUAACGACCUUUCAACUUGAAGGUGCAUACUGACGACAACUGAAUUCUGACAAAAACACUGACACAACAAUAACCAUUUUUGAUAACCUCAAGAAGUUUCCUUUUUACUUUGUAAAUUCCAUCCAACGUACAUGUUUGAGCCUAUAAUGCCUUAAUUUGCAAUAAGUAAAUGGCUGACAAUAUACAAUCUCAUAUCUUCGUAGUGGUAGAAUCGGUUCAAGCCCAAUUAUGAGGAUAAUCAAGUGGUGUUUGAAGAAGUUCCGUUGCUACGUUGUUUUCUCAAAGGAAGCAUUGUUUAUAUUUGGUAAAAUAAGAAUAAUUAUGCUGAUUUUGAUUAUUUCCUUACUUCUAACACUUGGCUUAAAUUUCUGUAGGCCUCAUAUUUGUCCACAGUGUCGUAGAGAAUGCACUGAUAGAUAUAAUGAUCACUCAUCUCCCAGGUGUAUGGGACCUUACAAAAUCGGCUAAAGCUAUUAACUUACAAGAAGGAACCGCGGCAGUUCUGCAAAUUUUAUUUGCUUUUGCAUCGGAUGCCUAUCUGGGCCGCUUCAAAAUGGUGGUUUACUCCACCAUAUCUUACAUCAUUGUGAGUUUU